This 556-nucleotide ribosomal RNA is filed under the name Trichophyton mentagrophytes. RNAcentral describes it as "eukaryotic LSU rRNA". It matches the Rfam family "Eukaryotic large subunit ribosomal RNA", at positions 57 to 625 of the family's 3401-position model. The record is from RNAcentral. Lineage: Eukaryota; Fungi; Ascomycota; Eurotiomycetes; Onygenales; Arthrodermataceae.
AAAAGAAACCAACAGGGAUUGCCCCAGUAACGGCGAGUGAAGCGGCAAGAGCUCAAAUUUGAAAUCUGGCCUCCCCCGGGGGCCCGAGUUGUAAUUUGCAGAGGAUGCUUCGGGUGCGGCCGCCGUCUAAGUUCCUUGGAACAGGACGUCAGAGAGGGUGAGAAUCCCGUCUUGGGCGGGCGGUCCGCGCCCGUGUGAAGCUCCUUCGACGAGUCGAGUUGUUUGGGAAUGCAGCUCUAAGCGGGUGGUAAAUUUCAUCUAAAGCUAAAUAUUGGCCGGAGACCGAUAGCGCACAAGUAGAGUGAUCGAAAGGUUAAAAGCACCUUGAAAAGGGAGUUAAACAGCACGUGAAAUUGUUGAAAGGGAAGCGCUUGCGGCCAGACUCGGGGGCGGGGUUCAGCGGGUGCUCGUCGCCCGUGUAUUCCUCGUCUCCCGGGCCAGCAUCAGUUUCGACGGCCGGUCAAAGGCCCCCGGAAUGUGUCGUCUCUCGGGACGUCUUAUAGCCGGGGGUGCAAUGCGGCCCGUCGGGACUGAGGAACGCGCUCCGGCUCGGAUG